RNAcentral lists this transfer-messenger RNA (398 nucleotides) under Flagellimonas ochracea. Its description in RNAcentral is "Muricauda ochracea Standard tmRNA". It matches the Rfam family "transfer-messenger RNA". Rfam says of the family: Bacterial tmRNA, also known as 10Sa RNA or SsrA, is named for its dual tRNA and mRNA-like properties. Its role is to liberate the mRNA from a stalled ribosome. The record is from Rfam by way of RNAcentral. Lineage: Bacteria; Pseudomonadati; Bacteroidota; Flavobacteriia; Flavobacteriales; Flavobacteriaceae.
GGGGCCGACCGGUUUUGACAGCGAGACCAAUGGCAAUGUAAGCAUGUCGAGCUAUGGGAAUGAUGCUCGUUAAUACAAUAUCCCACACUUUUAAAUGGCGAGUCUAACUACGCUCUUGCCGCGUAAUCUGAAUCAAAGUAAGAUUAUGCCACGUCUCUGCUAGGCAGAGAAGCGAGAUGUCCUCUAGUAGCCCUUGUUGACGGCGACUAAUUUUUGGGCACCAUAAAAGUCAACACCGGACCACCACGGCUUCGAUGGUGGUUCUAAACUAAAGAAGCUAAGCGUACGAUAGGCGGUUUUGGGUCGGUCGUGCGUCGACAAUCAAUUCAAGACUAAACAUGUAGAAAGCUUUGUUAUUGCUUGUUUGGACGAGGGUUCGAAUCCCUCCGGCUCCACUU